This 244-nucleotide ribosomal RNA is filed under the name uncultured bacterium. Its description in RNAcentral is "partial 16S ribosomal RNA". It matches the Rfam family "Bacterial small subunit ribosomal RNA", at positions 15 to 244 of the family's 1533-position model. The record is from RNAcentral.
GAUCAUGGCUCAGGACGAACGCUGGCGGCAUGCCUAACACAUGCAAGUCGAACGGAGAAUUUAUUUCGGUAAAUUCUUAGUGGCGAACGGGUGAGUAACGCGUAGGCAACCUGCCCUUUAGAUGGGGACAACAUCCCGAAAGGGGUGCUAAUACCGAAUGUGACGGAACUUCCGCAUGGAAGCUCCGUGAAAGAUGGCCUCUACAUGUAAGCUAUCGCUAAAGGAUGGGCCUGCGUCUGAUUAG